UAUUUAAAAUAUAAAUUUAAUUAAAAAAAUUAAUAAAUAACUAUUGCUGAACGCCGAUUUUUGUAGAAUGUAGCUACCCAACUAUAAUCGCAAAGAAAGCUCCCACUGUUUGUGAAGAAUUAGUAAGGAUUUGACGCUAAGUUGUCGUCUUCAUCAACAAACAUUUUGUUAAACUGUAACAGCUCUUUUUGCUCGCAAAGUUUCUAUGUAUUUUUCAAUAACCUCCGUAAAAGUACCGAUCAAAAGUUUGCACUGGCCUAUACUUAUGAGAAUAUGCUUGCUGGUCUAAUUCAUGAUUUAUUUUAAUGUUUUUUUAGACGCCUCGGGAUCAGUGCGCAUUCAAAUCAUAUGCGAUGUAGUCUGUACGUGUACGUGUGUAUGGCGUUUAAAUACGUGUUUUUGAAGCAAUGCGCGAUUGCAUAUUGGCAUGGUAUGCAAUUAUAAAGUGGAGAUUCCCAGGAUCUUGCCAUGACUUCAUUGUUUGGAGAAAGAGCUAGGCAAGGGCAUCUGAAAUGGAUUGGACGCCAGUUUUAUUUUGGCAGAUUUAUGAAAGAGAGCAACUUUAAUAAACAAAAUUAUGCAGCUCAAAAUAUUGUCACUGGCGCCUCCUCGUGGACCUCCUUCAUAUGGAAACCCUUCUGCUUGUGCUUCUUGUGCCUCUUAUGCCAUAAAAAAGACCAUACAAUCGUGCUAUUUCGUCCCUAAUCAGCUGGAUUGCAAUUUGGGUGUACUUUUAAUUCCUUGCAUAUUCUGUACUCAUAUUAUGUGAGUGGUCAUUUUCCGACCACACCUUUAAAAAAAAUAUAACAAAU
Long non-coding RNA from Drosophila novamexicana, 812 nucleotides. RefSeq lists it as uncharacterized. Lineage: Eukaryota; Metazoa; Arthropoda; Insecta; Diptera; Drosophilidae. The record is from RefSeq and is a predicted model, not a curated record. The transcript has 4 exons.